Molecule: small nucleolar RNA, 130 nt
Organism: Ochotona curzoniae (black-lipped pika)
Lineage: Eukaryota; Metazoa; Chordata; Mammalia; Lagomorpha; Ochotonidae
Product: small nucleolar RNA SNORA20
Exons: 1
Source: RefSeq, a predicted model, not a curated record
CUUCCCAUUGAUUUGCUGCUCUGGUCUCACAGUGCUACGAGCAGUUAUACGCAUGGGAUAGAAGAAACGUGGACCCUUGUACAUGGAGGUGGGCUGACAGUGCCACCUCCCCUACGUGGUCUAGACAUUG